UAUGAGUAGCGAGACGUGGGUGAGAAUCCCACGGGCCGUAAACCCAAGGUUUCCAGGGGAAGGUUCGUCCGCCCUGGGUUAGUCGGGACCUAAGCCGAGGCCGAAAGGCGUAGGUGAUGGACAACAGGUUGAUAUUCCUGUACCGCCAAUAAGCAUUCGAGAGAUGGAGUGACACAGUAGGAUAAGCUAACCGUACUGUUGGUUAUGUACGGCUAAGCAUUGAGGCAGUCUAAAUAGGCAAAUCCGUUUAGGCAAUGCUAGGAUGUGAUGGGGAAGCCCUUCGGGGCGAAGUAGCUGAUUUCACACUGUCAAGAAAAGCUUCUAUCGAGUUUAAAGGCGUCCGUACCGUAAACCGACACAGGUGGGUGAGGAGAGUAUCCUAAGGCCAGCGAGAGAACUAUUGUUAAGGAACUCGGCAAAAUGACCCCGUAACUUAGGGAGAAGGGGUGCCUGUCUAUGACAGGCCGCAGAGAAUAGGCCCAAGCGACUGUUUACCAAAAACACAGGUUUCUGCUAAGUCGCAAGACGAUGUAUAGGAGCUGACGCCUGCCCGGUGCUGGAAGGUUAAGGGGAUCUGUUAGAGCAAUCGAAGCAGUGAACUUAAGCCCCAGUAAACGGCGGCCGUAACGAUAACGGUCCUAAGGUAGCGAAAUUCCUUGUCGGGUAAGUUCCGACCCGCACGAAAGGCGUAACGAUUUGGGCACUGUCUCAACAAUAGGCUCGGUGAAAUUGUAAUCCCGGUGAAGAUGCCGGGUUCCUGCGACAGGACGGAAAGACCCCAUGGAGCUUUACUGUAGCUUGACGUUGGGUCUUGGUACUACAUGUACAGGAUAGGUGGGAGACUAUGAAGCAUGGACGCCAGUCUGUGUGGAGUCAUCCUUGGGAUACCACCCUUGUAGUACUGGGAUCCUAACCAUAGGCCUUGAAUCAGGUCUUGGAACACCGUCAGGUGGGCAGUUUGACUGGGGCGGUCGCCUCCUAAAAAGUAACGGAGGCGCUCAAAGGUUUCCUCAGCACGGUCGGAAAUCGUGCGAAGAGUGUAAAGGCAAAAGGAAGCUUGAUUGCAAGACAUACAGGUCGAGCAAGGACGAAAGUCGGACUUAGUGAUCCGGUGGUACCGCAUGGAAGGGCCAUCGCUCAACGGAUAAAAGCUACCCUGGGGAUAACAGGCUUAUCUCCCCCAAGAGUCCACAUCGACGGGGAGGUUUGGCACCUCGAUGUCGGCUCAUCACAUCCUGGGGCUGUAGUAGGUCCCAAGGGUUGGGCUGUUCGCCCAUUAAAGUGGUACGCGAGCUGGGUUCAGAACGUCGUGAGACAGUUCGGUCCCUAUCCGUCGCAGGCGUAGGAAAUUUGAGAAGACCUGUCCUUAGUACGAGAGGACCGGGAUGGACGUACCUCUGGUGUGCCAGUUGUUCUGCCAAGGGCAUAGCUGGGUAGCUAUGUACGGAAUGGAUAAGCGCUGAAAGCAUCUAAGCGCGAAGCCAACUUCAAGAUAAGAUUUCCCACCGUAAGGGUAAGACCCCAGGAAGACUACCUGGUUGAUAGGUCGAAGGUGUAAGUGCAGUAAUGUAUUUAGCUUAUCGAUACUAAUAGGUCGAGGACUUGACU
RNAcentral lists this ribosomal RNA (1608 nucleotides) under metagenome. RNAcentral describes it as "bacterial LSU rRNA". It matches the Rfam family "Bacterial large subunit ribosomal RNA", at positions 1301 to 2925 of the family's 2925-position model. The record is from RNAcentral.